This 643-nucleotide ribosomal RNA is filed under the name uncultured Actinomycetes bacterium. Its description in RNAcentral is "bacterial SSU rRNA". It matches the Rfam family "Bacterial small subunit ribosomal RNA", at positions 232 to 885 of the family's 1533-position model. Lineage: Bacteria; Bacillati; Actinomycetota; Actinomycetes. The record is from RNAcentral.
CGCGGCCUAUCAGCUUGUUGGUGAGGUAACGGCCCACCAAGGCGACGACGGGUAGCCGGCCUGAGAGGGUGACCGGCCACACUGGGACUGAGACACGGCCCAGACUCCUACGGGAGGCAGCAGUGGGGAAUAUUGCACAAUGGGCGCAAGCCUGAUGCAGCAACGCCGCGUGAGGGACGACGGCCUUCGGGUUGUAAACCUCUUUUAGCAGGGAAGAGGCGAAAGUGACGGUACCUGCAGAAAAAGCACCGGCUAACUACGUGCCAGCAGCCGCGGUAAUACGUAGGGUGCAAGCGUUGUCCGGAAUUAUUGGGCGUAAAGAGCUCGUAGGCGGUUUGUCGCGUCUGCUGUGAAAACGCGGGGCUCAACCUCGCGCCUGCAGUGGGUACGGGCAAGCUGGAGUGCGGUAGGGGAGAUUGGAAUUCCUGGUGUAGCGGUGGAAUGCGCAGAUAUCAGGAGGAACACCAAUGGCGAAGGCAGAUCUCUGGGCCGUAACUGACGCUGAGGAGCGAAAGCAUGGGGAGCGAACAGGAUUAGAUACCCUGGUAGUCCAUGCCGUAAACGUUGGGAACUAGAUGUAGGGACCAUUCCACGGUUUCUAUGUCGCAGCUAACGCAUUAAGUUCCCCGCCUGGGGAGUACGG